AUGAACGCUGGCGGCGUGCCUAAUACCUGCCAGUCGAGCGAACAGACGAGGAGCUUGCUCCUCUGACGUUAGCGGCGGACGGGUGAGUAACACGUUGAUAACCUACCUAUAAGACUGGGAUAACUUCCGGAAACCGGAGCUAAUACCGGAUAAUAUAUUGAACCGCAUGGUUCAAUAGUGAAAGACGGUCUUGCUGGCACUUAUAGAUGGAUCCGCGCCGCAUUAGCUAGUUGGUAAGGUAACGGCUUACCAAGGCAACGAUGCGUAGCCGACCUGAGAGGGUGAUCGGCCACACUGGAACUGAGACACGGUCCAGACUCCUACGGGAGGCAGCAGUAGGGAAUCUUCCGCAAUGGGCGAAAGCCUGACGGAGCAACGCCGCGUGAGUGAUGAAGGUCUUCGGAUCGUAAAACUCUGUUAUUAGGGAAGAACAAAUGUGUAAGUAACUAUGCACGUCUUGACGGUACCUAAUCAGAAAGCCACGGCUAACUACGUG
This 496-nucleotide ribosomal RNA is filed under the name uncultured bacterium. Its description in RNAcentral is "partial 16S ribosomal RNA". It matches the Rfam family "Bacterial small subunit ribosomal RNA", at positions 29 to 507 of the family's 1533-position model. The record is from RNAcentral.